Non-coding RNA from Oryctolagus cuniculus (rabbit), 3974 nucleotides. NCBI's taxonomy places the organism in Eukaryota, Metazoa, Chordata, Mammalia, Lagomorpha, Leporidae. The record is from RefSeq and is a predicted model, not a curated record.
UUAAUCAACAUGCAUUUAUCAAGCACCUGCUGUGUGAUCAACGUCAUUCUUGGAGAAUUCAUGCUGAUUAAAUUCUCUGUAAAACAAUUAGGAAGCUGUAUCUUGUUUUUGCUCUGCCCCAUUCCUACCCCCAAAUUCAUACAAAUGCAUUCCAAAAUCAAAUAAAUGCUCUUUUUGUAUCAAUUUAGCAUUUUGAAUUAUCUACAUUAUGCUCCGUUCUGUUGAGAGUUGAUAACACCCUGGUCAAUUACGAUUUUUCUAAGCUAGUCAAAGCAGUUUGACAUAAAUGUAUACAUUUCUGAAUGAUUGUGUUCUUUUAUAUAUCUCCUUUUAAGGAAAUUUAUUUGCUAAGGUUUUGUUCACUUGUUUAUGCCGUUACAAGUAACAGAAACCAGCUUGUACUGGCAAAAAGAGAAAAAAGAAAAAAACUUAUUGAAAAUAUAUUAGGCUCUCUCAUGGAAUCCAAAGAAUUGAACAAUCAACCGUGAAAGGCAGAAGCCAAAGAAGCUCUGGGACCUGGGCAACAGCUGCUCACAAGCCUCCCCUUUGGAAUUCUGCCACUAAUGUGACUUAGUGCCAAACUCUGUGUAGCUCAGUUCAAAAUUCAAAAUGGGGGCUCAGGGUGGGGGGAGAUGGAAUCCGAUUGGUUCAGCUGUGGUUAGAAGGCUGCUGCUCCAAUCAAAUGUGGCCUAGAGGCAGAGUCCCAUGCUCGGUAUCCCCCACCGCCCAGUCCUGAAGUCACCAGCCACACAUGGAUAUGGCAGAUUUCGAGUGUGGCUAGAAUGACUGAGGAACCGAAUUUUUAAAUUUUAAUUUUUAUUAGUUUAAAAAUUGAAGCAGCAUAGCAUAUUUUUCCAUUAUACACAAAUUCAUUGUUUUUUUAGAUCUGCAUUUCACUUUGUUAAAAUUUACCAUCUGAAUUGAGAUAAUGCUGCCAGGGUAAAACACCCAUUGGAUCAUGAAGACAGCGUUUUUUAAAAGAGUUGAGAGGCAUCCAAGCACCUGCUUCUGCUGGGAAACACAAGGAAGAUGACAUUGGAGUGGAGUCCGAAGGAUAAGCGGACACAGGGGACGAGCUGCAGAGGGACCUCUCAGAAACCAAGCCAUGUGACAAACUCAGAGAGUAGCCAUCUAGAAGCCAGGACUAGAAGUCUCACCAGAAGCCGCAUCUCCCAACACCUUGAUCUGACACUUCUAACCUGCAGAACUGUGAGAAAACGCGUGUCUGUUUAAGACAUCCAGCUUGUGGUAUUCUGUUACAACAGUACUAGUGUUAGUCUAAUAACAGAAGUUAUGACAAGCGUGUCAAACUAGAAUGAUAUUUGCCUAAACUAAAACAAUGACAGCGAAAGUAGAGAGAAGAGGAUGAAAUUGAGGCUAAUUAAGAGUUAGAAAGGAGAGGAUUUAGUGAUAGAUGUGGGAACUGGGCCUAGGUGACCCUCAAGUUUCUGAUUUGAACUCCUAGAACACAGUUGCUGGGUCAGUAUGAGGUCCCAAGUCCUUUCCUUCUUUGCUCUCUAUGUAAAUUCUACCUCUCUAUACCUGAAAUAUUAAAGCAAGCAUUUGUGCAGCUGAUGCAAAUCCAAAUGUACCCCGUAAUGAUUGUGGGCAGAUGAGAGGACCAACAUGAUAUUCGUGCACCUGGGAGCCUAUGAAGCAUCAUUGAAAAGACAAUGUGGAUGGUGGGUGCUGUGGCGCAGUGGGUUAACGCCCUGACCUGAAACACCGGCAUCCCCAAGUGGGCGCCAGUUCGAGACCUAGCUGCUCCACUUUCCACGAAGCUCUCUGCUAUGGCCUGGGAAAGCAGUGGAGGAUGGCCCAAGUCCUUGGGACCCUGCACCCAUGUGGGAGACCUGGAAGAAGCUCCUGGCUCCUGACUUUGGAUCGGCACAGCUCUGGCUAUUGCAGCUAUCUGGGGAGUGAAUAAGCAGGUGGAAGACCUCUCUCUCUCUCUCACUGCCUCUGUCUCUCUGUGGACUCUGUCUUUCAAAUAAAUAAAUAAAUCUUUACCAAAAAACAACAAUGUGGAGGCUGACAUCUGAUAAUCACUAGACACUAAACUUCAUCCUUAAAUUCUCCUCGAGGGAAGAUAGCACUGUAAUCUGGGCUUCUCAAAUAGUGGCUGAAAUCUACUAUACACUCAAUAAAAUCAACUCUACCAUUGAUUCAGCCUGAAGUGGGAGACAGCACUAAAUUAUACUAUCUUGCUUUGAGAACAAGGAUUAAGAACAAGAAGAGAAGGCCAGCACCGCAGCUCACUUGGCUAAUCCUCUGCCUGUGGCACCAGCACCCCGGGUUCUAGUCCCAGUCAGGGCACCGGAUUCUGUCCUGGUUGCACCUCUUCCAGUCCAGCUCUCUGCUGUGGCCCAGGAAGGCAGUGGAGGAUGGCCCAAGUGCUUGGGCCCUGCGCCCCCAUGGGAGACCAGGAGGAAGCACCUGGCUCCAGGCUUGGGAUCGCCGCAGCACACAGACCAUGGCAACCAUUUGGGGGAAGGAAGACCUUUCUCUCUGUCUCUCUGUCUCUCUGUCUCUCUCUCUCUCUCUCUCUCACUGUCUAUCUGUCAAAUAAGAAGGAAGGAAGGAAGGAAGGAAGGAAGGAAGGAAAGAAGGAAGGAAGGAAGGGGUCUUCUGUACUCUGGUUCAUUCCCAAUGGCCACAACUGCUGGAGCUGGGCUUACCCCAAGCCAGGAGCUUCUUCCAGGUCUCCCACAUGGAUGCAGGGACCCAAGCACUUGGGCCAUCUUCUACUGCCUUCCCAGGCCAUAGCAGAGAGCUGGAUCAGAAGAGGAGCAGCCAGGACACAAACAGGCACUCGUAUGGGAUGCCAGUGCUACAGGCAGAGGCUAAGCCCAUUGUGCCACAGCACCAGCCCCACAUUUAACUUUUUGAGAAACUGUAAAACUGUCUUCUAUAGUAUUGUGUGAUUACAAAUAUUUUCUCCCAGGCCAGGGCCGCGGCUCACUAGGCUAAUCCUCCGCCUUGCGGCACGGGCACACCAGGUUCUAGUCCCGGUCAGGGCGCCGGAUUCUGUCCCGGUUGCCCCUCUUCCAGGCCAGCUCUUUGCUGUGGCCAGGGAGUGCAGUGGAGGAUGGCCCAAGUACUUGGGCCCUGCACCCAUGGGAGACCAGGAGAAGCACCUGGCUCCUGCCAUCGGAUCAGCGCGGUGCGCCGGCCACAGCGCACCGGCCGCAGCGGCCAUUGAAGGGUGAACCAACGGCAAAGGAAGACCUUUUUCUCUGUUUCUCUCUCUCUCACUAUCCACUCUGCCUGUCAAAAAAAAAAAAAAAAAAAAACCACGAAUAUUAUUCUCUCCCAACUCUAUGGGUUAUUUCAUGGUGUCCUUUGAUACAAAUAAUUGAUUUUAAUGAAAUCCAAUCAGUCUGUUCUUGUGUUACUUGUUCUUUUAGUGUCAUCUAAGAAUCCAUUGCCAAAGCAAGGGCCAUGAAGCUUUCCUCCUGUGUUUUCUUCUGAGAGUUUUCUAGUUUACAAUUUUGUAGUUUUACGUCCUUGCAUUUAGCUAUCUCACAGAUUUUGAGAUAAUCUGCAUAUGAUGGAAGGAGAGAAUCUAAUCUCAUUCUUUUAUAUGUGGAUAUCCAGUUCUUCCAGUCCCAGUUGUCAAAGAGGCCGUUCAUUCCUCCAUUGAAUUGUUUGGGCAUUCUUGUCAAAAGUCAAUUGGCCACAGAUGUAUGAAUUUAUUUGUAUACUCUCAGUUCAAUGCUUCGCCUUUGCCAAUACCACCAUGUUUUGAUUGCUGUAGCUUUGUAGCAAACUUUGAGAUUGAGACGCAUGGAUCCUCCAACUUUGUCUUUCUUUUUCAAGAUUGUUUUGGCUGCUUAGGGUCCCUUGAGAUCACAUAUGAAUUUGAGAACUGGCUUUUUCCAUUUGUGCAACAUGGGCUUGGGAUUUUGAUAAGGAUUGUUUUGAAUAUGUAUAUCACUUUGGGGAGUAAUAUCAUCUUCACAAGAGCAAGUCUU